AAAAUGUUUCGGUAAUCAAUUUUGCGGUAGCAUAAGUUAGAUGACGAAGCAAGGACUCUUCAAUCAUCUCCUCUGACAAAUCAUCAUCCUCUCCUGUCUCCUCAGCAUCUUCUUCAACAAGUAAUCCGCGAUCGUUAAUCCGCCGCCACUCACUAACUAGUUUGUGAUCUAAUUCGGACAGCAAAGCUGGCAGUAAAGGUAAAAGACAUUCAUCGCGAAGUUCUGCAGGACAAUUAACGCAAUACGGUUUGAUUACAACAUUCACCAUAGACGUCCAUUGAUGUAAACUUAACCCAGCUGCAUGAGAAAAGAAAGCUGUCAAAAACUGCUUAGACAAUCCGGGUACACAAAAAAAUGCUUGACCUAGACGCAUAAAUGAAGCUAUAGCAUAAUAACAGUAUUCCCUUAAACGCCUUAAAAAAUGACCGAACGAAUGUAUUAACUUGUUAGCUGAGACGUCCAUCUUGUA
This is a non-coding RNA of Schizosaccharomyces pombe (fission yeast), 469 nucleotides long. The record is from the annotation of a GenBank genome assembly. Lineage: Eukaryota; Fungi; Ascomycota; Schizosaccharomycetes; Schizosaccharomycetales; Schizosaccharomycetaceae.